RNAcentral lists this ribosomal RNA (642 nucleotides) under uncultured fungus. RNAcentral describes it as "SSU rRNA". It matches the Rfam family "Eukaryotic small subunit ribosomal RNA", at positions 366 to 1006 of the family's 1831-position model. Lineage: Eukaryota; Fungi. The record is from RNAcentral.
GGAAUUAGGGUUCGAUUCCGGAGAGGGAGNCUGAGAAACGGCUACCACUUCCAAGGAAGGCAGCNNGCGCGCAAAUUACCCAAUCCCGACACGGGGAGGUAGUGACAAUAAAUAACAAUACGGGGCUCUUUCGGGUCUCGUAAUUGGAAUGAGUACAAUUUAAAUCCCUUAACGAGGAACAAUUGGAGGGCAAGUCUGGUGCCAGCAGCCGCGGUAAUUCCAGCUCCAAUAGCGUAUAUUAAAGUUGUUGCAGUUAAAAAGCUCGUAGUUGAAUUUCGGGAUUGACGUGAUGGUCGUGCCUUAAGGGGUAUGAACUGUCGCAGUUGAUUUCUCACCUUCUGGAGAAGCAUGAUGUCCUUAAUUGGGUGUCAUGUGGAACCAGGACCUUUACCUUGAAAAAAUUAGAGUGUUUAAAGCAGGCAUUUUGCUCGAAUACAUUAGCAUGGAAUAAUAGAAUAGGACGGCAUGGUUCUAUUUUGUUGGUUUCUAGGAUCACCGUAAUGAUUAAUAGGGAUAGUUGGGGGCAUUAGUAUUCAAUUGUCAGAGGUGAAAUUCUUGGAUUUAUUGAAGACUAACUACUGCGAAAGCAUUUGCCAAGGAUGUUUUCAUUAAUCAAGAACGAAAGUUAGGGGAUCGAAGACG